This is a long non-coding RNA of Rosa rugosa (rugosa rose), 713 nucleotides long. RefSeq lists it as uncharacterized. NCBI's taxonomy places the organism in Eukaryota, Viridiplantae, Streptophyta, Magnoliopsida, Rosales, Rosaceae. The record is from RefSeq and is a predicted model, not a curated record. The transcript has 2 exons.
GAACAAGCCAAAAACAACCUCCAGUGCUAUCCAAACAAUUUACAAAUUACAACCCUAACCAGUAACUUGAUUGAUAAACUUCAAAGUUCAAACACACAUGAAAUCCCUAAAAUCCCACUAACAUAAAAUCUAACAACUCACAACCUCCAAUCGUCACACUCACACGUUAGCUAUGUCACAACCCAUUAGCACCAACACCAUCACUAUGAAGAAUCUGCUUGUUGGCUAGUCCAGAAAAGAAAAAAGAUCACAACUUUAGAAUCUCCUACAAAUCGAACCCAACUUUUUUUUCUUUGCAGAAUCACCAAAAAUGAUAACUACACAAUCCACAUGAAAUGAUUCAUGUUAGCACACAUUAAAACUUAUUCACACAAAAUGAUUGAUUCUACUACAUAAAGGUUUAUACAGAAUCAUAGCAACGCAACCAGCUUCUUCAUUACAAUUCCAUUAACACAUAAAAAACCCCAUAACGUUAUAUAUAGAUAGAGUAUAGAUCCAACAAACUACUCAUGAUGAACUAAAAUUAUACAUGUAUAUUUAGCAUCUGGCCAUCUGGGUCAGCUUCGCCUCUCCAGACAUUACAAAAUAAAACCCGGAAUUAAAAACCCAUUAAUCGUUUGAUUAAUCCCAUCAUUAAUCAAGCUCUUAAAAGUUGUGGUUGUUAUGUAUUUCAUAUAGGUAAAAUUAUACUGUUUGGAUAUAUAUGGGCCGGG